Molecule: ribosomal RNA, 253 nt
Filed under: uncultured bacterium
Lineage: Bacteria
Description: partial 16S ribosomal RNA
Rfam family: Bacterial small subunit ribosomal RNA
Source: RNAcentral
UACGAAGGGUGCAAGCGUUACUCGGAAUUACUGGGCGUAAAGCGUGCGUAGGUGGUGAGUUAAGUCUGAUGUGAAAUCCCCGGGCUCAACCUGGGAAUGGCAUUGGAUACUGGCUCGCUAGAGUGCGGUAGAGGGUGGUGGAAUUCCCGGUGUAGCAGUGAAAUGCGUAGAGAUCGGGAGGAACCUCUGUGGCGAAGGCGGCCACCUGGACCAACACUGACACUGAGGCACGAAAGCGUGGGGAGCAAACAGG